UGCCAGCCGCCGCGGUAAUACGUAGGGGGUUAGCGUUGUUCGGAAUUACUGGGCGUAAAGCGCACGUAGGCGGAUUAGUAAGUUAGGGGUGAAAUCCCGGGGCUCAACCCCGGAACUGCCUCUAAUACUGCUAGUCUUGAGUUCGAGAGAGGUGAGUGGAAUUCCGAGUGUAGAGGUGAAAUUCGUAGAUAUUGGGAAGAACAUCGGUGGCGAAGGCGAUUUUCUGGGCCAAAUCUGACGCUGAGGUUAGAAAGCGUGGGUAGCAAACAGGAUUAGAUA
This 279-nucleotide ribosomal RNA is filed under the name uncultured bacterium. Its description in RNAcentral is "partial 16S ribosomal RNA". It matches the Rfam family "Bacterial small subunit ribosomal RNA", at positions 506 to 784 of the family's 1533-position model. The record is from RNAcentral.